RNAcentral lists this ribosomal RNA (799 nucleotides) under Pezicula cinnamomea. Its description in RNAcentral is "eukaryotic LSU rRNA". It matches the Rfam family "Eukaryotic large subunit ribosomal RNA", at positions 104 to 921 of the family's 3401-position model. Lineage: Eukaryota; Fungi; Ascomycota; Leotiomycetes; Helotiales; Dermateaceae. The record is from RNAcentral.
CAGCUCAAAUUUGAAAUCUGGGUCUUUUAGGCUCCGAGUUGUAAUUUGUAGAAGAUGCUUUGGGUGCGGCCCCGGUCUAAGUUCCUUGGAACAGGACGUCAUAGAGGGUGAGAAUCCCGUAUGUGAUCGGUGGCUUGCGCCCGUGUAAAGCUCUUUCGACGAGUCGGGUUGUUUGGGAAUGCAGCUCUAAAUGGGUGGUAAAUUUCAUCUAAAGCUAAAUAUUGGCCAGAGACCGAUAGCGCACAAGUAGAGUGAUCGAAAGAUGAAAAGCACUUUGGAAAGAGAGUUAAACAGUACGUGAAAUUGUUGAAAGGGAAGCGCUUGCAACCAGACUUGCGCGGGGUUGAUCAUCCGGGGUUCUCCCCGGUGCACUCGGCCUCGCUCAGGCCAGCAUCGGUUUUGGUGGUUGGAUAAAGGCCUUGGGAAUGUGACUUCUUUCGGGGAGUGUUAUAGCCCUCGGUGCAAUGCAGCCUACCGGGACCGAGGACCGCGCUUCGGCUAGGAUGCUGGCGUAAUGGUUGUAAGCGACCCGUCUUGAAACACGGACCAAGGAGUCUAACAUCUAUGCGAGUGUUUGGGUGUCAAACCCAUACGCGUAAUGAAAGUGAACGGAGGUGAGAACCCUUAAGGGUGCAUCAUCGACCGAUCCUGAUGUCUUCGGAUGGAUUUGAGUAAGAGCAUAGCUGUUGGGACCCGAAAGAUGGUGAACUAUGCCUGAAUAGGGUGAAGCCAGAGGAAACUCUGGUGGAGGCUCGCAGCGGUUCUGACGUGCAAAUCGAUCGUCAAAUUUGGGCAUAGG